GGCGGAGCCGCGCCCCUGAGGAGACCGCGCGGGCGGGCGGGAGGCCUGGCGCGGUCCGGCCCCGGCAGGACGCGGUGCUCUCCCGCCGGCCCCGGCACCGCCUCCGAGCCCCGGCUGCAGAACUGGGAGGUUGAUGAGCCUACCAGUGCUAGCCAGACAUCCCUGUGGAAACAAACCGAAGGAAACUCUCAGGAACCCAGGGUGGUACUGGAAUAAAACACAGAAAUGUGUGCUGCUGCAGCAAAGAGGGCACAUCUUGUCGUGGACAGAUCAAUAGCAACCAGCAGACAGAUUUACAGCUCCCAUGGACUGUGAACCUCUCAGUUUUUCGUCCUACACUGGGUGAAAGUGAGCACAUGCCAUUUGUUCCUAUUUUUAGCACCUGCAUUCUCAAUCCAGUAUAAGGAGAGGCCCGACCAAAGGAAUUGUCUCAAUGUCACCUGGCAGAAACACUUAAAAAUUGUUUUCAUUGCAAAGGGAGGGGUAAGUAUGUCCCUGUGAUCCAUGAAAACACAGGUUAUUCACUUCCAUUGUACAGCACUCAUUUUCACCAGAAUUCAGCAGCUGGUGUGCACAGCCCUAAACACAACCAGUUUGGGAAACAGCAUCAGUACCCCCUGCAGAUCCCCAGCUCCCCAUACUCUGUGUGUUAAAUAUGGCAAGCCAAUAGGAAACCUGCUGCAAGUCUCUUGGAGCUGCUCUAAAAUCUUCACUCGGGAGUCUGGAAGAAACAUCCCCAUUCACAGUGCUUUGGUAGAGACGUUGCACAUUUCAUCCCUCUUCAAAUAUUUAUAUAUGUACUUCACGUUCGAGUAAAGCUGUCCUUUUCAUCAGAGCAGGAAGAUUACAGCAAGGGGAGGAAUUACCCUAAAUUGGCAAACAUCAUUGUCUAUUAAGUAACACAAGGCUUUGAAAGGAGAAUUGAGUGUCUGGCAGCCAGGAGCUUGGCUCCACUGCACAGGAGAUUUCAUAAUGAUAUGUUUUGAGAUCAACUGUAAAAAAAAAAUGAAAACAAAAUCACCUACAGCAGUGUAUCCCAUGACACUGGGUGCUAAGGAGCCUGGAAAAACAGGCUGAAGCUAAAAUUCAAUGCUGAAAUGGUCUGCUGCCUUUGGGGGAAAGACAUUUCCCUCCUCCCAGUCCCACACCCAGGCCCUGCCUGCUCCUCUGUAAUCAGAGCUGGCCUUUGGAGACCUUCACAGGGGGAGGUGUUUUAAUCCAAAUAUGUUCCUUGAUCCACUCAGCAGCCAGGCCUCAACAGUUGUCCAAAAGCAGGAGAAUACCUAGAACCAGCACUGGCAUUGCCCACAGCAAUGCCUGACUGGGAUGCCCCUGCUGUGCUCAGAGCAGCUGUGCCCUAAAAUCCCCAGGGGAGCUGAGGUGGGGACUCAUUUUGCAGCCCUGCUCUCCCAAGGAGGCCACUCAGCCUUCCCUGGAUCCAAAUCCAUGCAUCACACCAGGCAAAGUCCUAACCCCGGGAUGUUUCUUACCUGGUGCUGCCAAUUUGCAGGUGCUGGCUGGGGCAGGACAGCAGGGACCACAUCUCAGCACAGAUGUGCAACCUCUCCUGCAUGGCUGCUUGUGCUGGGGUGAAAGCAAGGGAGGCCUGGAAGAUGUGUGGUUAAAGUUGUUGUGCAGUUUGCUUCCAUGGAAAAAGAAGCAGGGUUUUCAUGUUUCAGGUCUGUAAAGCCAAGUUCUGUGAUAGACACAGCAGUAAAUCAUUGCACCUUUUGGUUUUUUUUUUUUUUGGUUUGGUUUGGUGUUUUUUUUUUUUUUUGUUGUUGUUGUUUUUUGGCUUUUUUUUUUUUCCUCCUGAGAAAGAGAGCAAAUCCUUUUGACUGCAGCAGCUUUAGUUUGGUCUGAAUCUGGAAUAACAUUUUUGCCUCCGUGUUCAAAAGCACCACCUUCACUCAGCAUCAUGAUGCAAGUGAUGAGAUGCAGUGUACAGCCCUUGUCAGAGAGCUGCAGAGCACCAAACACUUCCCAGGAGCUGAAAACUGGGAAGUUUCAGGGCAUGAGUGUCACAUCACUUGGUGACACAAAUUCUUGUUGCCCGUGUUUUUCCACAGGUAGCAUGGCAUGCUCCAGACAGCCAGAAAAGAGGAUCUUUAAAAACAUUCAGCUCUUAUUUUUUAUCAAGCUCAAAAUAGUUUCUGAGGAUUUUGGUUUGGUUUGGUUUUGGGUUUGUUUUUUUGUUGUUGUUGGUUUUUUUUGGGGGGGAUUUUUCGUUGUGGUUUUUUUCUUUCUCCCCCCGGCUACUUAUUCACAGUAUUUGGGUUCACUGUAAUAAAAGCUGACCUGGGGACUGCUGCUUUUACAUCAAUGGAAACGGGUUAUGUACAUUGGCCUUUUCUCUAGCAUUUGCCUGUUAAUUAAUAAUUGGUACAUUGCCAGGAGCAAAGGAGAGGUAGGAAUGGGAUUCAGGUUAUAAAAUCUUCAAGGUUAUCUCGCUGUCCCUGCAGCAAAGCGAGAGCCAGAGGGGCGGGACAGAGCCAGGGUGCUGAGAGAGGGGGACGGGCUGUGGGCCACUCGCCCCAGGAGCCAUGUGCUGCAUUCCCGGGGAGCCACAUCCCAGCGCUCCCGGAGCUGCCGGCACGUCCUCCACAGCGACGGGAGAGCAGCAGCCCCGGGAAUUUCCCUGUCUGCUGCGGGAUUCCCGGGAACCUGCCUGCAGCCACCCUUGGGAACGCGGCUGGCCGCCCCCCACUGCAGCGCCCAGCCGGGCAGAAACACGGAGCAGCUGCUUUCCCUGAGUCUGGCACGGCUGGCAGCCGCUGGCAUUAUGGAAGUGCUUCCCAGAGCCCUCACACUGUCCAGAACGUGCACCCUCAUCUCUCAGCCCUUGCUCCAAAAUGUGCUCCCACCCCCCACCACGUGCUGAAAACGCUGCAGGCACACAGGUACUGAAACACCUCCUGUGAACACUCUUGGCUCUCCUGAGUCAAAACCCUUCCAUAAGGCCAGGACAACUGGAAUUAAUUUUCUGAGCUGGACCAGAGCUUAUCCAGGAUACCGAUCUGCCUGAUAUUUGUGGACAGAUUGGUGUGGCUAGAGGACACUUGGAGAGCACAGGACAAACCCAAGCAUGCUCCUGUGACCAAAGAGAACAAGAACAGGAGAUAAGAGGCUAAAACUUAAAUAAUGACUAAAGACCAAGGAUUUCUCCUGUGGCAUGCAAGCACUUCAGCGGCAGCAAGAAAAAAAUUAAAAAGCAAAGGUGACAUGCAACUCGAGCUGGAGCAUCUCAGUUUCUCCAGGAAUGAACCUGUUUUUUCCCACCCAAAUGUUUGAUCCUGGAAUUCACACAAUGAAAGAGCCUUUCCCAGGCUGGGCAGGGUCUGUCAGCAAGGCUUGCCAGCAACACGAGCCCAGCAUUUCAGUGGUCUCCUCACAGUCAUCUCCUCACCUCCUGCCCCUGCCACACGCAGGGCAGCCAGCACAGCAAGUGCUGCAGAGCUCUGCUCCACUUCCCUUGGCUUUUGUACCUUGCUGAGAUGGGGGAGCUGUGGCUGGCAGGUUCAGCUUUGGCAAAACCACUCAAGUCGAAUAGAUUGGCACACGUGCUUCAGAACACCACUUUUUUUCCUCUGGAGCAUUGCAGCUUUGCUCUUGCAGGCACAGCAGGACAGGACAGAGACUGUGGAAAGGAAGUUGCCCCUGUUGUGCUGUGUGCUGCCAUUUGCAAGCUGUGGGCAGAGCUGCACUGUGCUGGUAUUGAUUCAUGUUUGCCAAGAAUAAUUACUCCUGAGCUGCUUGGAUUCAGAUCAGUUUCCCUGCUCUGGAAGGACGUACCUGCCUUUUUCAGACACAGGCUGCAGUAACUAACGCUCUCUGCCUCCAUGUGGGGCUCCUUUUCCUUGCAGACACAAGGCAGGCACAGCAGUGCAGGAUGCAGAGUGCAGAGAGGAUGGAGAAGAAUCCACUUGAAAUUCAGUUUCUGUAGUAGCAGAAACUGGUCAAUAAUUAUUUUGCAAAAAACCAAAAAGGGACCUGCUCUAUAGAAACCAUCUUUUUUUGUGUCCUGGAAACAUGAGCUCCUUGCACCUCUCCUUACCUCUGUUCAGGGGCAUCCCACUGCAUUUUGCAGCAGGACCUGAAGAGCUGCAGAACUGAAGAAGCUGCGGGUGAAGAGCCAAAAUCACUUUUCUCCUUUGUUUACACCUAGGAAAAAGUGUACUGGACCCACUUCAGCUAAACCCCUUCUGCUUGGCUUUUACUUUUUAGCAGAUGCAGUUUUAAGCACCAGCAAAAUCCCAGAUAAGGGAAAACUGCCAGUCCUCACAUGUCACUUAGAUUUUUCCAAGCCAUCUUGAUUUCAGGCACCUCCUGGAUGAGGCUCCCUUGGACUGUCACAGUGCCAGCUUGGGUAACUCCAGUUAAAAUCAGUCCUGGGAGGGUGCUGGCUUCCAGGCUGGCUGAUUCUGGGUGGCAAAGGAAGCUGUGCCAACACCACUGGGAGGUUUUCCAAGACACUCCCAAGCCUGGGCAAAGCUCUCAGCUUUGGGCACAGCUGCUGCCACAGUGAAAUCCUGCUCAGCCCACGGGAGCUGCACACCAGUGGCAGAGGCACUGAGUGUUUUGCCACCAGGCCUGGGGCUGGUGCUCCUGGCUGAGGGCUCCUUCUUGGGGUGGCAGGAGCAGAAGGGUCACCAACAGCAGGGUGAAGAGAGUGCUUGGGCUCAUUGAUAUGGUGGCACUGUGGGGCCUCACUCCCAGCUCCCUGUCCUGCACCAUCCCGCUGCUGCCCAUGGUUUCUACCACCAGGAGCUCAUGACUCACCUGGUUUCCCCCAAGACCUGCCAUUGUUCUCCUGGAACCAUUUCAGGUGGAUUUGUGCUCCUAAAAGCCACCCCAGAGGCCAUGGGCUAUCUACCAUGCCUCAGUGCUGACUUAGACACACUCCUUACUGCCCAGCCCAUCGGGGUGAAGGCCCCUGGUGCAUCAGAAUUACCAUAGAUCAAAGGAGGAGACCACAAAGGUUUUCUCCUGCUAUUGUAGGAUCUGCAGAUAAUAGAUAAUAUAAUAAAUAUUAAUUCAGAAAUAAAAAACAGAACAAAGGGAAAUUAAAUAACCCACACAGCAAGUUUUAACAUCCAGCCUCAUAGCUACAGGUUACUGAAGGGGGAAUGGAGGGAAGAUAUCUCCUGCAUCAGGGACUGGGAUCAGCAGCAUAAUUGGAGCUGAUGAAGGGUUUUCCCUAUGCUGCUUGAUGGAGAAAUUCCCCUGACAUGGAUGUGCUCACUGUAAAUAAAUAAAACUUCAGAAACGAGCAGAGAUGAGAGCUAGCUUUGUAAAUCAGUAAACCACUGCCCCAAGUAUGGAAUCACUGCAGGUUUUGUGCCUGAUCCUGUACACAUUUAACCUCCCCCAUGUAAAUAGUCCUCUGGAGUUAAUGGAGCUGUACUAAUUUGGAAUGGCUGGAGAUUAAGCCAUUGGGGUUAAGCAUUUCAGGCAGCUCUGAUUGCAGCACGCUGCAGUUACAGGGCUGUUGGAUGACUCAAAGGCGCUCCCGUGCUCUGGAAUAAAAGCAUCCAUGGCCAUUACACAAUGUCUCCAGCAGCCCUGCAAUGCAGCCCGAGUACAGCACUGGUCCUUCACAGGUUUUUUCUUCAGACAGAGGAAUCCUGUCCUGCCGGGUGGGGAAGGGAGCAGACACUUUGCCCAGUGCUGCAAUGUAAAGCUAAGUUCUUUCUUUCAUUCUCCCUGGGUAUGCACCAAUGUUUUCCAGACACUAUUUCACUACUGUUACACUGCUUGCAAGCAUCUUAAUUUAAAUCCCAUUAUAGAUGCACCAGGGCAAAAUAAUCUGUCCACAGCUGAAAUAAUAAACUGGAGUGAAAACAUCCUUGGGCUGUGAAGAGGCUAGAACAAGCACUAACUGAAAUGUAUAAACUUACAUAACAUUAUUUACAGAAAGGAGCCCAGUUGUCAAAGGCCCUAAGAGAGCUGGAACAUAGGAAUGUUUGUUCUCCUUGCAAAGAAUAAUUAAUUAUGCAAGUUUAUAAAUUCCAGUUGCUUUGCUUGCUCAUCUCCUGAUGUGCCUAAGGACUGCCUGGAAGGUAUUUACAGUUCCCAGCCACUGGUUCUGGAGGCAUUUUUUUAACCUUGUACUUCUGCAUGCCAUUGCCUCACAGGAUCUUGGAGCAGGAGAUUAACUCUACACACCUCGUUCCUCGGCCACAGAAAAAUGCAGAUUUGUUCUGAAGUCCUGCAGGAGUGAGUUUAUUUCAGGGACAUGCCUGGAGGAGGCCACCACACGUUUUUCAGAGGGUGGUGGGGUGGCUGCUGCAUUCUGUGAGUGCAGGGAGAGCCCUGAGCACAUGCAGGUGGCUGGGAUCAAGCAGAGACCCCCCUCUCUCUCUACCUGGGCCACUCAUCCACUCCUGAGGUGGCUUUGCUUAUUUGUCCCUUUUGCUGCCAAGAGCAGAGACGCCAUGAAGGCUCUAAUGCCCUCGAGGUUUGGUUUGCCAGGCAGGAAAAGUGCCACUAAUUACUGAAAUGCACUAUAAUGCACUAUAUAGUUUCCUGGCAGUGCUGUGUUCAGCCAGAGCUGCCAGAAAACUCAGGAAAUUAUUGUUGCCUCCCAGGCUCCACUCAGAAACACUAUGGAUUUGGGGUUUGUGCUGCGAUUGCUGUUUUUCUCCCAUCCACUCCUGUAAAAUGUCACUCCUCGAGGGGUCUGAGGAACUUGCAGGCAUCCAAAAAUACCAUUUAUGCAAUUACCUGUUUUUAUGUAUUCUCCAAUACCACAAGAGCUAAUGGCUGAGUGCUGGAGUUCCAGUGCUGCUGGCCACUAAGGCAAUUAAAAUGCAAGUACCAAGUCACCUGUGUGCAGAGAAAAUAACAAUCAGGAAAACAUCUUUGGGGAACUCUCUCUUGUACCUCCUUGCUGACAGAUGCCCUCUGACAGCUCCGCAUUUCAGGGACCUCUGGUUGCUGCAAUAACCCUGCAAAUGCAGCAGGGUCAAAACCCCCAGGUGGGAUCUCCACCCCUGACAUGCCUUCAAACCUGUUUUCCUGCAAAUUCUUGCACUGCAAGAUCUGCCUUCCUACCACUAAAAGGAAGGAGGAAGAGGAAAGCAUCUGGGGACUUGAGCUUGGGGUUGCUCAGCCCCAUCACACCUGGAGGGAAGCUCCACAGCACCACCCACAAUUUUGUGCUUGGACAACAAGCUCAGGUGAUAUCCCAAAAUAACACUUCCCAAGUGGCACUGGCAGUUCAGAGGUGAGGCUGCAGCUGUGUCCCUCUUGCCACCUUUCCAUGGGGGGUGGCACACCGUGUGCUCUGGGACUUCUGUGGCCCUGGGGAAUCACCCACUGGAUUCAUGCCACUGGGAAAAGGCACCUUUGGUGUUGUGUGUCCUUUUUGAGGAGAGUGGGCCUCUUCCACAACUUUGGCAAAGAUUGGCUGAAGCAGUGUGACCUGGAUGGGUGGAAACAGCUGGAUUUUGGUGCACUGAGGGGAGGUGCACUGAUGGUGACGGCUGCCUGUCCCCCUGUGCUGGCAUCUUUACCCCCACCCAGCACAGUGAGGGAGACCCAGGAGUGCAGCUCUAGCCUCCACACUGGAUUAAAUGACACUCCCAGCCACACUUCCCUGGGAUUUGGGAAUAAUUUUGAGGAGGAUUUUAACAGGCCCAGCUUCAAGGCAAAGAGCCCUCGUCUGUUUUUCCAGUCUCAAGCCACAUGAAACAUAACACAUUAAAAAGUCAUCAGUGGCUGCUGCUACAGGACCACUGCAUUCCCCUUAUUCAAAAGGCUCCCUCUGUCCCCAGCACUGAGGACCUCUUCAUAAAUAUUUGGAAUGAAUGAAUAAACUGUUGAAAAUCCCCAGAAAGGGAAGAAAACAUUUCUGUGAGCAAUCUAUGGCCAGUGUGAGCCUUGGGGUAAAACUUCUCAGAUACUUGCACACCUACAAAUGGUCAGUGAAUUCUUAAAUCGGGAAAUCUCCUCAGAAAAUGGUGAGCAAUUUGUUUUAUCAACAGGUAGCAAAGAAUUGACACAGAGAAAACAAAAUAUCUCAAAACAUCAAUCACUUUAUUUAAAAAGUCCAAGCACAGUGAGAUGUGGAGAUUACGGGCUCCUGCGAAAUCCUUCCCAUUGUGUGAAACACAAUGAGAGCAUACACACUAUUAUUUACACUUGCAAAAGGACCCGUAAGUAAAAAAAAAAAUUAAAAAAAA
Molecule: long non-coding RNA, 8183 nt
Organism: Passer domesticus (house sparrow)
Lineage: Eukaryota; Metazoa; Chordata; Aves; Passeriformes; Passeridae
Exons: 2
Source: RefSeq, a predicted model, not a curated record